GAUAGAAUUGGGCCACCACACUG
This 23-nucleotide non-coding RNA is filed under the name Arabidopsis thaliana (thale cress). Lineage: Eukaryota; Viridiplantae; Streptophyta; Magnoliopsida; Brassicales; Brassicaceae. The record is from RNAcentral.